Molecule: ribosomal RNA, 253 nt
Filed under: uncultured bacterium
Lineage: Bacteria
Description: partial 16S ribosomal RNA
Rfam family: Bacterial small subunit ribosomal RNA
Source: RNAcentral
UACGUAGGGGGCCAGCGUUGCUCGGAAUUACUGGGCGUAAAGGGUUCGUAGGCGGUGUGGCAAGUCGGGAGUGAAAUCUCUGGGCUUAACUCAGAGGCUGCUUCCGAAACUGCCGUGCUAGAGUGCGGGAGAGGCGAGUGGAAUUGCAGGUGUAGCGGUGAAAUGCGUAGAUAUCAAGUGGAACACCAGUGGCGAAGGCGAGUCUCUGGACAUUUCCUGACGCUGAGGCACGAAAGCCAGGGGAGCAAACGGG